Oreochromis aureus is the source of this 471-nucleotide long non-coding RNA. RefSeq lists it as uncharacterized. The record is from RefSeq and is a predicted model, not a curated record. Lineage: Eukaryota; Metazoa; Chordata; Actinopteri; Cichliformes; Cichlidae. The transcript is spliced from 3 exons.
UUUAGGCCCAGACACGGCCAGUGACGUCAGACUGAACAACCGGAAACUGUUAUCCGGUUAAUAAUGUUUGAUAUGAUAUGAAAACUCCAGAGAGAGAAUAUUUGUUUGGUGUCUUGUCGUGCUUGCUAUGCAUCCCUGACUCUUUUCUUCUUUCUACAUCAAGUAAGGAAUGUAGUGAAAGUUCCCAAGAGGUUAAAAACACCACUGAAAAAAUGCCAUCAGACCUGAGUUGGGACACUUGGAUUAUGGAGCUUCUGGACCAAGAGAAUGAAUGGGAGCAUGUGUUUAACAGCGUAGUGAAACAUUUGGGCGGUGGAAAAAUAAUGGAAAAUAAAAUUCAGACUACAGACUGCUUCAGGUUUCCAUACAUCGGAAACAGCUGCUGCAUCUGUAAUUCUGUCCAUCCUGAGGAGAGUCCACACUCUACAACAGAUCCUUGGCUCACCUAUAAUGACACACAGGUGCUCCACA